UACGGAGGGUGCAAGCGUUGUCCGGAUUUAUUGGGUUUAAAGGGUGCGUAGGCGGCCUCUUAAGUCAGUGGUGAAAGCCCGGGGCUCAACCCCGGAACCGCCGUUGAUACUGGGGGGCUUGAGUAUGGACGAGGUUGGCGGAAUUGAGGGUGUAGCGGUGAAAUGCUUAGAUACCCUCAAGAACACCGAUUGCGUAGGCAGCUAACUAGGCCAUAACUGACGCUGAGGCACGAAAGCGUGGGGAGCGAACAGG
RNAcentral lists this ribosomal RNA (253 nucleotides) under uncultured bacterium. RNAcentral's name for it is "partial 16S ribosomal RNA". It matches the Rfam family "Bacterial small subunit ribosomal RNA", at positions 524 to 776 of the family's 1533-position model. The record is from RNAcentral.